CACAGGUAGGAGGAGAGGCAGGCAGGUGGAGGGGGGAGGGGAAGCAGGCCUCCUGCCGAGCAGAAAGCAGGAUGUGGAGCUUUAUCCCAGGACCCUGAGAUCAUGACCUUAGCCGAAGGCAGAGGCUUAACCUGCUGAGCCACACCCAGGCACCACAACCUAUUUAUUUUUGAAACAUAUUUACCUCAGUGAAAUUCUUUUCCUGGUUUUAGUUUUUUCCCCAGCUUUACUGAGGUAGAACUGACGUGAUGUUGCGAAUAUUGAAGACGUGUAAGUUACAGAACAUGUAUAUGCGACAUGAUUAUCAUAAUGAGGCAGAACUGGAUGAUUGAUUUACAUAUGGAUUGAAUUGAAGGAACUGAGAAUUAAAGAAAGGCCUACAGCGAGGUCAAACCCCAUCCCAGUUGUCCAAACAGUACAUUCUGAAUAAAUAUUCUGUUGGUUACAAAGUUUGGCUCUCUUGGUAAGACAGACCGGCAUUUGAACCUUUUUAACGUUCCUUAACCUCCC
RNAcentral lists this long non-coding RNA (510 nucleotides) under Mustela putorius furo (domestic ferret). Its description in RNAcentral is "lncRNA (ENSMPUG00000029256.1)". The record is from RNAcentral. Lineage: Eukaryota; Metazoa; Chordata; Mammalia; Carnivora; Mustelidae.